Molecule: long non-coding RNA, 400 nt
Organism: Pseudophryne corroboree (corroboree frog)
Lineage: Eukaryota; Metazoa; Chordata; Amphibia; Anura; Myobatrachidae
Exons: 3
Source: RefSeq, a predicted model, not a curated record
AACCAACUUUAUUAACAACUGACAAAACAAACAGAAAAUAUGUCAAGAUGGCAUUACAAGACUCACCAGGAGGCCAAUAAUAUCAGCAAGGGCACAUGAUGCUGGCACUGGAGAAGACAGGAGUUGUGCAGGUGACUCUCAAGUCAGAUCUACUUGGUUGGGACAGCCGCUAAGACCAGAAAGGACAGGUCGUGAGGAUGAAAACUGAAGUCAAGUGUUGCAAAUAAAAACCUGCUGAAUGUAAUACCUGAAUCACCAUUGAAAAGGGCUCCUUGUGACAGGUGAAAUAGUGUAGGAACCAAGACAUGGAAUAACCAAAAAUUCCUUCAUAGAUUUAAAAAAAAAAAAUACCAAUGUUUGUCCCAACAUGCUUUUGAAAAUGAUAUUCCAACUUGUACAA